RNAcentral lists this unclassified non-coding RNA (65 nucleotides) under Vibrio aestuarianus subsp. francensis. RNAcentral describes it as "suhB". Lineage: Bacteria; Pseudomonadati; Pseudomonadota; Gammaproteobacteria; Vibrionales; Vibrionaceae. The record is from RNAcentral.
UAUUUAUGUCCUGCAUGGACGCAAUAUUUAGCCGGAUUAAUCAUCCGGCUCUUUUUUUAGAGAGA